RNAcentral lists this ribosomal RNA (467 nucleotides) under uncultured bacterium. Its description in RNAcentral is "partial 16S ribosomal RNA". It matches the Rfam family "Bacterial small subunit ribosomal RNA", at positions 28 to 507 of the family's 1533-position model. The record is from RNAcentral.
GACGAACGCUGGCGGCGUGCUUAACACAUGCAAGUCGAACGGAAAGGCCCUGCUUUUGUGGGGUGCUCGAGUGGCGAACGGGUGAGUAACACGUGAGUAACCUGCCCUUGACUUUGGGAUAACUUCAGGAAACUGGGGCUAAUACCGGAUAGGAGCUCCUGCUGCAUGGUGGGGGUUGGAAAGUUUCGGCGGUUGGGGAUGGACUCGCGGCUUAUCAGCUUGUUGGUGGGGUAGUGGCUUACCAAGGCUUUGACGGGUAGCCGGCCUGAGAGGGUGACAGGCCACAGUGGGACUGAGAUACGGCCAAGACUCCUACGGGAGGCAGCAGUGGGGAAUAGUGCACAAUGGGCGGAAGCCUGAUGGAGAACGCCGCGUGCGGGAUGACGGCCUUCGGGUUGUAAACCGCUUUCGCCUGUGACGAAGCGUGAGUGACGGUAAUGGGUAAAGAAGCACCGGCUAACUACGUG